UAGUUCAAAACCAAGUUCAGCGCCUCCAUCAAUAUUUUCUUCUGCACGGAGUUUAUUAUAUUAUUUUCCUUCGCUCCAUUUGGUGGUAUUUGUCCAAUCACUUCGAUUAGCUUCUCAAACUCAAACACCCCUCAAUUCUCAACAUUCCCACAUAGCUUUGUUCGCAUAUUCAAAACCCUUUCAAGAUUCAGGGUUUGCCAAGAUCCAUAUAUUCCCAUAAAGGCUGCGUCUGAUUGUUCUACUCUACUCUACAUUUCAUUAUUCAUUUGAUUCUUGAUGACUUGGGCUCUGGGUUUUGGCGUAAAAGGUGAAUUUGGGUUGGUGGGUAUUUGAAGAAAGAGCAGAAGGGUUUGUUUAUUUGUUGAUGGUGGCUUUGUGAUUCGUAGUGUGAACUGGUUUACUGGGUGUUUGAUAAAAAGCGCCAGAGGGGUUUUCUUGGGGUGGAAAUAUGGGACAUAGUUCGAAGAAGAAGAAGCGUGGAGGAGGAGGGAGUGGGAAGAAGAAGAAGGCCUUGAAAGAUCAUGGGGCUUAUGUUGGUGGUGAUGAUAAUGAACUUCUUUCUGAAGAGAUCACUGCCUUGUGUGCAAUAUUUCAAGACGAUUGCAAAGUUAUGUCUGGAUCCCAUCCUCAAAUCAUCAUUAAGCUUAGGCCUCACUCGAAGGAUAUGGGUUAUGAGGAUCUAGAUGUUUCUGCACUUCUUUUAGUUAGGUGCUUACCAGGGUAUCCUUACAAGUGUCCAAAGUUACAGAUAACUCCUGAGAAGGGUUUAUCACAAAGUGAUGCUGACAGGCUGCUAUCUCUUAUUCAUGAUCAGGCAAAUUCUAAUGCUCGAGAAGGACGGGUAAUGAUUUUCAAUUUAGUAGAGACAGCCCAGGAAUUCCUAUCUGAAGUUGUGCCAGUGAGCCAAUCACAUGGCUCGGUAAUAUGUCCGACUACGGGUAGCAGUGCUCAAUUGUUUCAGAAGGACAUUGCAAUUUCAAGUAACAAGAAGGGGCCUUUUGUUUAUGGUUUCAUAGACCUAUUCAGUGGUUCUGGAGAGUCUUGGAAUUGGGGUUUUGGAGUAGAUGAGACCAGUGGGAUAAAUCCUUCAGUCCCAUCGCACACAGGUGAUGGCUCCAAAGUCAAGCAUGAGAUUCAGGAAAAGAAACUUGAUAGGCAUGCAGAACCUUUGAAUUUACAAGAUAUAAAGAAAAGUUCAUUACUUUCCUCUACUGUCAAAUUAGACAGCCUUGAAGAAGACAGUGAAGAUGGCAACAAGAGCAUAGCUUCUACUAAUUCUAGUAGAUUUUUGUUGGAAGAAUUGGUAGGCAGUGGUGGUAAAGCUGAGAAAGAGAAUUUGGUUCUUGAGGAGGAUUCAACAGAAGAUGAUUGCGAAUUCGGAAGUGAACAAUCAGAGUCACUCUCGUUUGCUUCCUUGGGCCAUGAUCAAGUGUCUCAAACUGUUAAAAAGGAUCUUAUAAUGGUUCAUCUGCUCCGUCUUGCCUGCACUUCUAAGGGACCACUGGCUGAUGCUUUGCCACAAAUAACCACAGAAUUGGAAAACUUAGGGAUCUUAUCGGAAUGGGGAAGGGAUUUAGCAUCUAAACCACCUUCACUUUUGAAUAGAACUUUUAAUCAUGCUUUUAGAGAACAUAUGGUUUCAUCGCGAGUCUCUCAAUUUUGGGAACCCACAUCUGAUUUUGAAGGGCCAAGUACAUCUCUCCCAAGCUCUCGAUAUCUUAGUGACUUUGAGGAGCUACAGUCCCUUGGUCAUGGAGGCUUUGGCCAUGUUGUAUUGUGCAAAAAUAAACUAGAUGGAAGACAGUAUGCAGUGAAGAAAAUUCGACUCAAGGAUAAAAGCCUGCCAGUUAAUGACAGAAUAUUGAGGGAAGUAGCCACACUUUCUCGUUUACAGCAUCAACAUGUUGUACGAUACUAUCAGGCAUGGUUUGAAACAGGUAUUGUUGGUGCUCAUGGUGAUACCACUUGGGGUUCAAUGACUGCAGCCAGCUCCACUUUCAGCUUCAAAGGUACAAACUCAGCAGAUGCUCUUGGGCAUGAGAAUAAGCUUGAAUCGACAUAUCUGUACAUUCAAAUGGAAUAUUGCCCCAGGACUUUACGCCAGGUUUUCGAGUCGUAUAGUCGUUUUGACAAAGAAUUAGCAUGGCAUUUGUGUCGUCAAAUUGUUGAAGGCUUGGCACACAUACAUGGACAGGGAAUCAUUCAUCGGGACUUAACCCCAAGCAACAUAUUCUUUGAUGCACGCAAUGAUAUUAAAAUUGGGGAUUUUGGUCUGGCCAAGUUUUUGAAGUUGGAGCAGUUGGAUCAAGAACCUAGUUUUCCUCCAGAUACAGCUGGGGUUUCUCUUGAUGGUACUGGCCAAGUUGGUACAUAUUUUUACACUGCUCCUGAAAUUGAGCAAGGAUGGCCAAAGAUUGAUGAAAAGGCUGAUAUGUACAGCUUGGGAGUUGUAUUCUUCGAGCUAUGGCACCCAUUUGGGACGGCAAUGGAACGACACCAUGUCCUAUCUGAUUUGAAACAGAAGGGCGAACUUCCUCCUGCUUGGGUUGCUGAAUUUCCUGAACAGGCAUCUUUGUUGCGACGCUUAAUGUCUCCAAGUCCAUCAGAUCGUCCUUCUGCCACAGAACUUCUAAAGCAUGCAUUUCCACCACGAAUGGAAUCUGAGUUAUUAGACAAUAUUUUACGAACAAUGCAAACUUCAGAGGACAGAAGUGUAUAUGAUAAAGUUCUGAAUGCCAUCUUCGAUGAGGAGAUGUUAAGCAUGAAAGAUCAGCAACAUCAUGAUGGAAGAUUGGGAUCUGUAAGUGAUAUUUCUGCUAUUCAGUAUGCAGAUUUACACACUGAGGCUCGUGAUUAUGUUGUUGACAUCACAAGGGAGGUGUUCAGACAGCAUUGUGCGAAACACCUCGAAGUAAUAACCAUGCGUUUGCUAGAUGACUGCCAACAGUUCAAUAGGAACACUGUCAAACUUUUAACCCAUGGAGGAGAUAUGCUUGAACUUUGUCAUGAGCUGCGCUUGCCUUUUGUUAGUUGGGUGGUCUCCAGCCAGAAAUCUUCAUUCAAACGUUAUGAAGUAUCAUAUGUGCACAGAAGACCUGUUGGACAUUCACCUCCAAGUCGCUACCUGCAGGGCGACUUCGAUAUUAUUGGAGGUGCAUCAGCAUUAACAGAGGCAGAAGUAAUCAAGGUGACAAGGGACAUUGUUGCUCCUUUUUUUAAUUCAGAUUUUUGUGAUAUUCAUCUAAACCAUGGGGACUUACUGGAAGCAAUUUGGUCUUGGGUAGGAGUCAAGUCAGAGCAUAGACAGAAAGUAGCAGAGCUCCUGUCUAUGAUGGGCUCUUUACGUCCUCAAUCCUCUGAGCGGAAAUCCAAAUGGGUGGUAAUCCGGCGUCAGCUUUUGCAGGAACUUAAUUUACCAGAAGCUGUUGUAAAUAGGUUGCAAACUGUUGGUUUAAGGUUUUGUGGAGCUGCAGAUCAGGCACUUGCUAGACUGAGGGGAGCCCUGCCAACUGAUAAACCAACGCGGAAGGCACUUGAUGAGUUGUCAGAUCUCUACAGCCACUUGAGAGUUUGGAGGAUCGAAAGACACGUUUACAUAAACCCACUUAUGCCACCAACUGAGGGUUAUCACAGAGAUUUGUUUUUCCAGGUAUAUUUAGUGAAGGAUAACAAUCCUGGAUCACUUACCGAAGGUACACUGCUUGCUGUUGGCGGUCGCUAUGACUAUUUGCUUCGUCAAAUGUGGGGUCUUGAACAUGUAGAAAUCAAGUCCUCCUGGUGCUGUUGGAGCCAGCCUUGCAUUAGAGACAAUAAUUCAGCAUUCUCCCGUCGAUGUUAAACCAAUCAGAUAUGAAGUUAGCAACGAUGUUCUUGUUUGCUCGAAAGGAGGUGGUGGUCUAUUGGCAGAGCGCAUGGAACUAGUCGCUGAGCUAUGGGAGGAGAACAUCAAGGCUGAGUUUGUUCCAAUACCAGAUCCAAGUUUAACAGAGCAGUAUGAAUAUGCAAACGAACAUGAUAUAAAGUGCCUUGUCAUCAUAACAGACACAGGGGUUUCACAGAAAGGUUCUGUUAAGGUCCGUCAUCUUGAACUCAAGAAAGAAAAGGAAGUUGAAAGAUCAAAUCUUGUCAGGUUUCUGCUGGAUGCAAUGGCGAUACAAUUUAAAAAUCCUUCCAUUUGGAAUUAGGCUUGUCCUUCCAAAGCAAUACUUUUCUGUUUUCCAGCAACCCUGUUGACUCCAGGAGAACCACACUGUUGAUUGAGUUAUGGCUCAUCUUCGGAAAUCGAGAAAAGCAACAUGAAGUUUUGCAGCGUUUUCUAUUCUUGUCUGAAGAGUUUUUAGGGUUCCUCACUUUGUAUUUGAAUUUGAAAAUUUGUAUAUAUUUCAUAGGUCAACUUGUUUAAUGAAUCAGAAGUAGAAAUUAUUGAGAGACAGAUAAAUUUUUUGUUCUUGAUAUGUUAAAAGCGUUCUGCAACAAUAUGUGAAAAAGCAUCUCUUGCAUUUGGCCUGACAUGGACUUUUCAAUUAUGGCAUGGUUUCAGAGCA
This is an RNA transcript of Prunus persica (peach), 4544 nucleotides long. It is a transcript of the gene named eIF-2-alpha kinase GCN2, with no coding region annotated. The transcript is spliced from 30 exons. The record is from RefSeq and is a predicted model, not a curated record. NCBI's taxonomy places the organism in Eukaryota, Viridiplantae, Streptophyta, Magnoliopsida, Rosales, Rosaceae.